CCUACGGGCGGCUGCAGUGGGGAAUAUUGCACAAUGGGCGCAAGCCUGAUGCAGCCAUGCCGCGUGUGUGAAGAAGGCCUUCGGGUUGUAAAGCACUUUCAGCGGGGAGGAAGGCGGUGAGGUUAAUAACCUCAUCGAUUGACGUUACCCGCAGAAGAAGCACCGGCUAACUCCGUGCCGGCAGCCGCGGUAAUACGGAGGGUGCAAGCGUUAAUCGGAAUUACUGGGCGUAAAGCGCACGCAGGCGGUCUGUCAAGUCGGAUGUGAAAUCCCCGGGCUCAACCUGGGAACUGCAUUCGAAACUGGCAGGCUAGAGUCUUGUAGAGGGGGGUAGAAUUCCAGGUGUAGCGGUGAAAUGCGUAGAGAUCUGGAGGAAUACCGGUGGCGAAGGCGGCCCCCUGGACAAAGACUGACGCUCAGGUGCGAAGGCGUGGGGAGCAAACAGGAUUAGAUACCCCGGUAGUC
This 465-nucleotide ribosomal RNA is filed under the name uncultured Klebsiella sp. RNAcentral describes it as "bacterial SSU rRNA". It matches the Rfam family "Bacterial small subunit ribosomal RNA", at positions 338 to 795 of the family's 1533-position model. Lineage: Bacteria; Pseudomonadati; Pseudomonadota; Gammaproteobacteria; Enterobacterales; Enterobacteriaceae. The record is from RNAcentral.